AGCGGAAUUCGUGAGACCUUUUUUUUUAACCACAACGUUAUGAUUUACAUAGCAGAAUUUGCAGGUGAGGACUGUGAGAAACAUGAAUCCAUGUAGAUGAAUAAAUACAACUGUACAUGGCCAAGAGAUCACUCAUGAAAUGUGAGAGAAAAUGAAAGAAAAAUCUUAGAAGAAAAUAAUAUUUAAAACAUGAUUAUCCAAAAGUUAUGGAGCAUGCUAAAGCAGUAAAAGAGUGAAGUUGAUAAAUUCUACACAUCUCAAGUAAUCAACAUAACCUACAAUCUAAAGCAUUUAGAGAAAGAAGAAAAAUCAGGCAAAAUUCCCCAAAGUGAAUAGAAGGGGAAAAAAUGAUAAAAAUCAAAGCAGAAAUUUAAAAAAAAGAAAUGAUAAAAACAAUAGCCAAAAUCAGUAUCACUAAAAAGGGUCUCUUGGAGAGGAGAAGUAAAAU
Molecule: small RNA, 448 nt
Filed under: Bos taurus (domestic cattle)
Lineage: Eukaryota; Metazoa; Chordata; Mammalia; Artiodactyla; Bovidae
Source: RNAcentral